GACGGUACCUGAAGAAAAAGCAUCGGCUAACUCCGUGCCAGCAGCCGCGGUAAUACGGAGGAUGCAAGCGUUAUCCGGAAUCAUAGGGCGUAAAGGGUCCGCAGGUGGCGAAUAAAGUCUGCUGUUAAAGACCGGGGCUAAACUCCGGAAAGGCAGUGGAAACUGAUUAGCUAGAGUACGGUAGGGGUAGAGGGAAUUCCCAGUGUAGCGGUGAAAUGCGUAGAUAUUGGGAAGAACACCGGUGGCGAAAGCGCUCUACUAGGCCGAAACUGACACUGAGGGACGAAAGCUAGGGUAGCGAAAGGGAUUAGAUACCCCUGUAGUCUUAGCGGUAAACGAUGGAUACUAGGUGUAGCUUGUAUCGACCCGAGCUGUGCCGAAGCUAACGCGAUAAGUAUCCCGCCUGGGGAGUACGCACGCAAGUGUGAAACUCAAAGGAAUUGACGGGGGCCCGCACAAGCGGUGGAGUAUGUGGUUUAAUUCGAUGCAACGCGAAGAACCUUACCAGGGCUUGACAUGUCGCGAAUCUAGCGGAGACGUUAGAGUGCCUUAGGGAAUGCGAACACAGGUGGUGCAUGGCUGUCGUCAGCUCGUGUCGUGAGAUGUUGGGUUAAGUCCCGCAACGAGCGCAACCCUCGUCCUUAGUUGCCAAUAUUAAGUUAGGCACUCUAGGGAGACUGCCGGGGACAACUCGGAGGAAGGUGGGGAUGACGUCAAGUCAGCAUGCCCCUUACGUCCUGGGCGACACACGUACUACAAUGGUUGGGACAAAGGGCAGCAAGCUCGCGAGAGUAAGCGAAUCUCAUCAAACCCAGCCACAGUUCAGAUUGCAGGCUGCAACUCGCCUGCAUGAAGUAGGAAUCGCUAGUAAUCGCAGGUCAGCAUACUGCGGUGAAUUCGUUCCCGGGCCUUGUACACACCGCCCGUCACACCAUGGAAGCUGGCUACGCCCGAAGUCGUUACCCUAACCCGGUUUUGGGAGGGGGAUGCCGAAGGUAGAGCUAGUGACUGGGGUGAAGUCGUAACAAGGUAGCCGUACCGGAAGGUGUGGCUGGAUCACCUCCUUU
This 1067-nucleotide ribosomal RNA is filed under the name uncultured cyanobacterium. RNAcentral describes it as "bacterial SSU rRNA". It matches the Rfam family "Bacterial small subunit ribosomal RNA", at positions 471 to 1533 of the family's 1533-position model. Lineage: Bacteria; Bacillati; Cyanobacteriota. The record is from RNAcentral.